GAUGAACGCUGGCGGCGUGCCUAAUACAUGCAAGUCGAGCGAACGGACGAGAAGCUUGCUUCUCUGAUGUUAGCGGCGGACGGGUGAGUAACACGUGGAUAACCUACCUAUAAGACUGGGAUAACUUCGGGAAACCGGAGCUAAUACCGGAUAAUAUUUUGAACCGCAUGGUUCAAAAGUGAAAGACGGUCUUGCUGUCACUUAUAGAUGGAUCCGCGCUGCAUUAGCUAGUUGGUAAGGUAACGGCUUACCAAGGCAACGAUGCAUAGCCGACCUGAGAGGGUGAUCGGCCACACUGGAAUGGAGCCACGUUCCAGACUCCUACGGGAGGCAGCAGUAGGGAUUCUUCCGCAAGGGGCGAAAGCCUGACGGAGCAACGCGGCGUGAGUGAGGAAGGUCUUCGGAUCGUAAAACUCUGUUAUUAGGAAAGAACAUAUGUGUAAGUACCUGUGCACAUCUUGCCGGUACCUAAUCAGAAGGCCACGGCUAACUACGU
RNAcentral lists this ribosomal RNA (496 nucleotides) under uncultured bacterium. Its description in RNAcentral is "partial 16S ribosomal RNA". It matches the Rfam family "Bacterial small subunit ribosomal RNA", at positions 28 to 506 of the family's 1533-position model. The record is from RNAcentral.